This is a long non-coding RNA of Aedes aegypti (yellow fever mosquito), 1085 nucleotides long. RefSeq lists it as uncharacterized. The record is from RefSeq and is a predicted model, not a curated record. The transcript is spliced from 3 exons. Lineage: Eukaryota; Metazoa; Arthropoda; Insecta; Diptera; Culicidae.
GAGUGCCCGCAUAGAAAAACACAAUUUGCCUUACAUUGAAAACAGUAUUUCAAUUCUAACUAAUAUGGUUAGAAUAUCACAAACUGUGCCAAUUAUGUUUGACAAUUUGGAAUUUUUGGCGUCGAACUGUAAAACACGGUUUAGGUAAUUCAUGCCAAACAGUGACAACAUGCCACAGUGUAAAGGAACGGUUAAAUUGUAAUGUGAUCAACAUUUCCGAUAUAUGGUAGAAAUGUACCUUAACAAUCUGUGGAACGGUAUCCGUUUGAAUUAUAAAUAACACACUUACACAUGUGCAUUUUACCAUAUAUUACUUAUUUCUAACAGUUCGAGAAACAGUUGUGGUCGUCAGUAUUUGUGAACUUUUUGAAGCGUGCGUGGUUUUGUUUAUUUUGUGAAAACGCGUGUGGAUUUUUUUGGAGAGAACAGAAAAAAGUGCAGUUCUCGGAUAAACAAAUGGAGUUGUGGCCAAGAACCCUGCUGUUCCUAGGUGGACCGUCAACAGCCACCAGCUCAUAAGAGUGCGCAACUAAAUUGGAAAAUAGAACCAGCAUUUCCCGUAUUUGACCACCACAGAUCACUGUCUUCGUCAAACCCGCAGUGAUAAAACCUCUGAAAUAGGUUCCACAGACUGUUCCAGUUGAACGGAUUUGGCUGUAAUCGUGAUGGUACGCAAGAGAUACAUAGAAGCUAGAAGUUGGCGCCGGCAGAGAUGGGGUUGUUUGAUUUGAAUCCUGUGUUUCUACCAUUGCAUUACUCCCUGUAAAGCGAACCAAAUGAUUAAGAAGCAAACAGAGUAAAGAAUGUGAAAUUGUCGAAAAUGCCACAUAAUAGUCCUUCGGAUUUUGCUGCUUCUAACUCUGUGCUAAUACUAUUCCUAAAAGUGCUGAACUAUUAUAGUAUAAUACUAUUACUAAAUUUUAGUUUAUUAGAUAAUGUGAUAAGUUUAAAAUGACUAAGAAAAAUAUAAAAAAUAUGUUUAUCUAGAUUUUAUUUCUUUAUAGUAUCAACACAACACAACGGUGAGCAUAGGGUUCAAAGACAAUAACGCACCAUAAACCAAUAAUAAUACAUACAUUAUUUGA